UCCCUCGUAGUAUAUAGGUCAGUACAUGCGUCUAUCAUGAUUGGGCAUCCUCGUCAUGUGCGCGGAAGCUGGGUUCGACUCCCAGCCGGGGAG
Non-coding RNA from Paramarasmius palmivorus, 93 nucleotides. The record is from the annotation of a GenBank genome assembly. Lineage: Eukaryota; Fungi; Basidiomycota; Agaricomycetes; Agaricales; Marasmiaceae.